RNAcentral lists this transfer RNA (68 nucleotides) under Cipangopaludina chinensis. Its description in RNAcentral is "tRNA-Pro". The record is from RNAcentral. Lineage: Eukaryota; Metazoa; Mollusca; Gastropoda; Architaenioglossa; Viviparidae.
CAGAGUAGUAGUUUAAAUAAAAUAUUGGCGUUGGAAGCUAAAGAUUAGGUGAUAUGCCUAUUGUCUGA